AGUUAAGUGUUGAGUUGACAUGAUCAUCUGAUUCUUGCUUAUCAUAACAAUAGAUAUGUCAGUUAUAAUUAUGCGAACGACUGGAAUAUAAUUGAAUUCACAUAAUAUGUUUUACGUAAUUUUAUUAUUUACAGAUAUAUUUUGUUUUGUUGAUUGUCAUAUUUCUAUCAAGUAAUACGUGCUAUGCACAGUUCAUAUUAGAUGGCGACACAGCAUUUUUCGACGAUGGAGCUGGUGCUGGGACGGAUAUACUAGGUGGUACAGGGACUGAUUUUUCAGCUCUUUCGGCUCUUUUACCACUGUUACUUCUUGCACCCUUACUAUUUGCGGCAACAACAUCCACUGCUACAGCAGCACAGGCUGUGCCAGCACCGGUUGCAGCAGCACCGGUUGCAGCAGCAGCGGCUGCGGUUGCACCUGUAACACCACAAACCAUAACAGUUUUAGUCCCUGCUGCGACUACGCCAUGUGUUUCGGAAACUUGCCCAGCUGGAUUCAUGGUCUUACCAAACCAGGCAAGUAGUACAAGCUGUUAUUCUGAUAGUGGUAUUGCUACACCG
Molecule: long non-coding RNA, 560 nt
Organism: Mytilus trossulus (common blue mussel)
Lineage: Eukaryota; Metazoa; Mollusca; Bivalvia; Mytilida; Mytilidae
Exons: 3
Source: RefSeq, a predicted model, not a curated record